This is a small nucleolar RNA of Sorex fumeus (smoky shrew), 136 nucleotides long. RefSeq annotates it as small nucleolar RNA SNORA72. The record is from RefSeq and is a predicted model, not a curated record. NCBI's taxonomy places the organism in Eukaryota, Metazoa, Chordata, Mammalia, Eulipotyphla, Soricidae. The transcript has a single exon.
CUGCAAAAAUUCUAGAUAUUCUGAUUUUGUAAUAUUCAGGGCAGUCUAACCAUUUGCUUUAAUAAGACCACACAUUUGUCCCCAGACCUAGGUCUUUACUUACCUAAGUCUGGUCUUAGAAAUGCUGGUGAUAAAU